Molecule: transfer RNA, 76 nt
Filed under: Thiobacillus sp.
Lineage: Bacteria; Pseudomonadati; Pseudomonadota; Betaproteobacteria; Nitrosomonadales; Thiobacillaceae
Also listed under: 694 other names
Description: tRNA-Arg
Rfam family: tRNA
About the family: Transfer RNA (tRNA) molecules are approximately 80 nucleotides in length.
Source: RNAcentral
GCGGCUGUAGCUCAGUGGAUAGAGUAUUGGCCUCCGAAGCCAAGGGUCGUGGGUUCGAUCCCCGCCAGCCGCACCA